Molecule: long non-coding RNA, 652 nt
Organism: Arachis stenosperma
Lineage: Eukaryota; Viridiplantae; Streptophyta; Magnoliopsida; Fabales; Fabaceae
Exons: 4
Source: RefSeq, a predicted model, not a curated record
UUUAAACCUUAUAAUUAGGAAACUUGGAACCAAUAAUCUAUUCAAAAUAUCAAAUAACCAGUAAUUACUCCUUCUCAUAUAUAAAUUCAAUUCAUAUGUGAUUGAGCUGUAAAAGUGCCACAAGAAGAAGCGGGUUCUGCUUAGAAAGAACAAGAAACGAUGGGAAUCUGUAGAGAUAUGGUAGGUGCCCAACAAGGGCUACGAAGGAAAUGAGGAAAUAGAGCUGCACUUUUUGUAUACGCAUUGGAAGGGCUAGAGAACAUGGCGUUCGUUGCCAAUGCGGUGAGCCUAGUAACAUAUUUCUUUGGCUUCAUGAACUUUAGCUUAACAAAAUCUGCCACAACCUUGACCAACUUCAUGGGAACUGCAUUCUUGCUAUCUCUAGUUGGAGGAUUCAUCAGUGAUACAUAUCUGUCUAGGUUCAAAACAUGUGUUAUCUUUGCAUCCAUGGAAUUGCUGGUUCUGCUCUCAAGAAGCUUUUUGAUAAGUUGAGAUCUGAAUAGCUUGACAUACAUUAUUCAAUUCCAAAGGUAGCUACUGCUAUAUUCUUCCCUUGUCAGUUUCUUUGUGUUCCAAGUUCUUUUGCUUUGCUUAUAGUGUUAUCUUUACUUGAUGGCAUUUUAGACAAUGCUCCAGAAAAGGAUAUUUGGUC